RNAcentral lists this ribosomal RNA (470 nucleotides) under uncultured organism. RNAcentral describes it as "partial 16S ribosomal RNA". It matches the Rfam family "Bacterial small subunit ribosomal RNA", at positions 335 to 797 of the family's 1533-position model. The record is from RNAcentral.
ACUCCUGCGGGAGGCAGCAGUGGGGAAUUUUGGACAAUGGGGGCAACCCUGAUCCAGCAAUGCCGCGUGAGUGAAGAAGGCAUUCGGGUUGUAAAGCUCUUUUGUCAGGGAAGAAACGGUGGUGGCGAAUAACUACUACUAAUGACGGUACCUGAAGAAUAAGCACCGGCUAACUACGUGCCAGCAGCCGCGGUAAUACGGAGGGUGCAAGCGUUAAUCGGAAUUACUGGGCGUAAAGCGUGCGCAGGCGGUUGUGUAAGUCAGAUGUGAAAUCCCCGGGCUCAACCUGGGAAUUGCAUUUGAGACUGCACGGCUAGAGUGUGUCAGAGGGGGGUAGAAUUCCACGUGUAGCAGUGAAAUGCGUAGAUAUGUGGAGGAAUACCGAUGGCGAAGGCAGCCCCCUGGGAUAACACUGACGCUCAUGCACGAAAGCGUGGGGAGCAAACAGGAUUAGAAACCCUUGUAGUCCC